RNAcentral lists this ribosomal RNA (200 nucleotides) under uncultured bacterium. RNAcentral's name for it is "partial 16S ribosomal RNA". It matches the Rfam family "Bacterial small subunit ribosomal RNA", at positions 8 to 221 of the family's 1533-position model. The record is from RNAcentral.
AGAGUUUGAUCCUGGCUCAGAAUGAACGUUGGCGGCGUGGAUUAGGCAUGCAAGUCGUACGGGCCGCAAGGCCAGUGGCGCAAGGGUGAGUAAUGCGACGGUAACCAACCCCAGAAAUGGGCAUAGCCGCGGGAAACUGCGGGUAAUUCCCAGCGAAAUCGCGAUGAGGCAUCUCGUUGCGAUCAAAGCUCCGGCGUUCU